AUCCUGGUACUAAACAGAAAUAGAUCAGAGAAGCCCACAGUUCCUAGCUCUUAUACUCUAGCCUCCUAAUCAACUGCUACAGGCUUGAUAUACAACACCUGCUCAGGCCUGUGCAUUGGCUGGAGAACAGUGCACAAAAACAGAGUAGCUUUGACAGUUCUGUGGGGACUCAUCAGCACUCUAAGCCAGGCUGCUACAAUCUUUGCUCUCAUCUGGUUCUCAGUGUUUACAUCUACAUGGUAAACUUGCAAAAAGUUCCUUAAUUUUCACAGAAACUUCUACCCAUUAUGCUAGGAAGAUGGUGAAUUCCAAACUCCAAACACACAUAAAAUCUUCAGAGCGUUACCAAGGCUCUUCCUCCUCUAGGAACAUGCCCCUGCAACAAGGCAGCCUCCCCACUACCAACCUACCUCUCAUACACAAACUUCCUUGAGGCCUCAAUUCACCAGGAAAUCCGUGGGUUGUUGCACCUUUCUCAGAACUGUCUCUGCGUUUGAUCACCACUACAGGGUUACGGUUCAAGAACAGGCAAGCUACAGUGAAUCGCAAAAGGCUCAAGAACUACCAGGGAAUCCUGGCUGUGGAUCGCAUGAUAGACCUGCAUCCCCUAUAGACUGUGUCCCUCUUGUCACAUCUGCCAGUGUAGAUUCCCUGUGCCAGAGGGCUUCCAGAAUCAGCUGUACUCCUCAGCUUAGCCUCUCCAGUAAUUCAUCUGACCAUCUAUCCAACUUCUCCAUCAUUGAUCAAGCCUUCGAGGAGAAAUGCUUCAGGAGGAUCUCAGCUAGAAAGAGAUGGCAGAGGCAGAAGAAUAUAGAACUAACUAGGAAAUGAGGCCACGGAUCAUGUGGUAGGUCUGGAAUUCCCAAAGAUUGUGUCCCUCCUGCUGGGUUGGACAACUCAGAAUCUGUGUGUGAGAGAACCAUCCAUUUUCAGCAAGACUCCUGUACUCAGCCCUUCAGAUAUUUCCCCAAACUCAGAAUCCAUCUUCUCCAUGUGUCAGAGACCAUCACUUGUGAGUUUUCCUUUCCUCAGCCACUUGAACAACUCUCUAGACCAGAGGCAGUUGGGUAUCUGUUCUCUCCCUUCAGUCAGUCCCUCCAUCAUUUCUCCAGACUCAGAAUCCUUCUUAUCCAUGUGUGAGAGCACAUCUAGUAUCUGCUCUCCUCCGUCACUCAGCCCAAGGAUUUUCCCAGAACCGGAUUCCAUCCUCUGCAUUGAUGAGACAAAUGAGUGUUUCUUAUCUGAAGCCCUGAAGUGUGGCCAUGCUGGCCAAGUCCUAGCAGUGGCAGACAGAAUCCCGUGUCAGUCAGCAGGCUGUGCGUCAUCUGAAAACCCAGCUCAAGAUGCAGGCUCGACACAAGCUCUAGAAUCCAGCACAGCUUCAACAGCAGCUCCAGGGGCAAUGGAAAGAGGUGUGAUAAGGAGGAAACCAUUUGAGAAAAAUAUUACAUGUGUUUUGUUCAGUAUGUAUUUGGUCGUAAGUCUGACACAGCCCACAUGUUCUGGUAAAAAGAAAACAUGUGAAAACUGAUUUGCCCAUUUUCCUGUGUAAAUCUUGAAAGGAAAAGUAGGAUCCUGAGGCUUGGUGAUAAGGGAUUGAUGUGCCGUUUCCCAAUUUCCAGAGCUCUAGAAGGGUUAUGUCUACAGAAAGAGUAGAGGAUGACACUGGGCUUCUUAUUUGAACUACAAUCUUAAAACAUGUAUGACCUGUAGGCACCCCCAAGUAAAUAUUCUUUACAAUUAA
Long non-coding RNA from Mesocricetus auratus (golden hamster), 1744 nucleotides. RefSeq lists it as uncharacterized. Lineage: Eukaryota; Metazoa; Chordata; Mammalia; Rodentia; Cricetidae. The record is from RefSeq and is a predicted model, not a curated record. The transcript has 2 exons.